RNAcentral lists this ribosomal RNA (1140 nucleotides) under Salmonella enterica subsp. enterica serovar Soerenga. RNAcentral's name for it is "partial 23S ribosomal RNA". It matches the Rfam family "Bacterial large subunit ribosomal RNA", at positions 1093 to 2215 of the family's 2925-position model. The record is from RNAcentral. Lineage: Bacteria; Pseudomonadati; Pseudomonadota; Gammaproteobacteria; Enterobacterales; Enterobacteriaceae.
CCAGGAUGUUGGCUUAGAAGCAGCCAUCAUUUAAAGAAAGCGUAAUAGCUCACUGGUCGAGUCGGCCUGCGCGGAAGAUGUAACGGGGCUAAACCAUGCACCGAAGCUGCGGCAGCGACGCUGAUGCGUUGUUGGGUAGGGGAGCGUUCUGUAAGCCUGUGAAGGUGUGUCGUGAGGCAUGCUGGAGGUAUCAGAAGUGCGAAUGCUGACAUAAGUAACGAUAAAGCGGGUGAAAAGCCCGCUCGCCGGAAGACCAAGGGUUCCUGUCCAACGUUAAUCGGGGCAGGGUGAGUCGACCCCUAAGGCGAGGCCGAAAGGCGUAGUCGAUGGGAAACGGGUUAAUAUUCCCGUACUUGGUGUUACUGCGAAGGGGGGACGGAGAAGGCUAUGUUGGCCGGGCGACGGUUGUCCCGGUUUAAGCGUGUAGGUGUGUGUUCCAGGUAAAUCCGGUUCACUUUAACACUGAGGCGUGACGACGAGGCACUACGGUGCUGAAGCAACAAAUGCCCUGCUUCCAGGAAAAGCCUCUAAGCAUCAGGUAACAUCAAAUCGUACCCCAAACCGACACAGGUGGUCAGGUAGAGAAUACCAAGGCGCUUGAGAGAACUCGGGUGAAGGAACUAGGCAAAAUGGUGCCGUAACUUCGGGAGAAGGCACGCUGACACGUAGGUGAAGUGAUUUACUCACGGAGCUGAAGUCAGUCGAAGAUACCAGCUGGCUGCAACUGUUUAUUAAAAACACAGCACUGUGCAAACACGAAAGUGGACGUAUACGGUGUGACGCCUGCCCGGUGCCGGAAGGUUAAUUGAUGGGGUCAGCGCAAGCGAAGCUCCUGAUCGAAGCCCCGGUAAACGGCGGCCGUAACUAUAACGGUCCUAAGGUAGCGAAAUUCCUUGUCGGGUAAGUUCCGACCUGCACGAAUGGCGUAAUGAUGGCCAGGCUGUCUCCACCCGAGACUCAGUGAAAUUGAACUCGCUGUGAAGAUGCAGUGUACCCGCGGCAAGACGGAAAGACCCCGUGAACCUUUACUAUAGCUUGACACUGAACAUUGAGCCUUGAUGUGUAGGAUAGGUGGGAGGCUUUGAAGUGUGGACGCCAGUCUGCAUGGAGCCGACCUUGAAAUACCACCCUUUAAUGUUU